Molecule: ribosomal RNA, 624 nt
Filed under: uncultured bacterium
Lineage: Bacteria
Description: bacterial SSU rRNA
Rfam family: Bacterial small subunit ribosomal RNA
Source: RNAcentral
GGGUGAGUAACGCGUAUCCAACCUUCCGUACACUCAGGGAUGGCCUUUCGAAAGAAAGAUUAAUACCUGAUGGUAUGAUGAGAUUGCAUGAUAGCAUCAUUAAAGAUUUAUCGGUGUACGAUGGGGAUGCGUUCCAUUAGGUAGUAGGCGGGGUAACGGCCCACCUAGCCAACGAUGGAUAGGGGUUCUGAGAGGAAGGUCCCCCACAUUGGAACUGAGACACGGUCCAAACUCCUACGGGAGGCAGCAGUGAGGAAUAUUGGUCAAUGGACGAGAGUCUGAACCAGCCAAGUAGCGUGAAGGAUGAAGGUCCUACGGAUUGUAAACUUCUUUUAUAAGGGAAUAAACCCUCCCACGUGUGGGAGCUUGUAUGUACCUCAUGAAUAAGCAUCGGCUAACUCCGUGCCAGCAGCCGCGGUAAUACGGAGGAUGCGAGCGUUAUCCGGAUUUAUUGGGUUUAAAGGGAGCGCAGACGGGUCGUUAAGUCAGCUGUGAAAGUUUGGGGCUCAACCUUAAAAUUGCAGUUGAUACUGGCGUCCUUGAGUGCGGUUGAGGUGUGCGGAAUUCGUGGUGUAGCGGUGAAAUGCUUAGAUAUCACGAAGAACUCCGAUUGCGAAGGCAGCA